Molecule: long non-coding RNA, 1451 nt
Organism: Oncorhynchus tshawytscha (Chinook salmon)
Lineage: Eukaryota; Metazoa; Chordata; Actinopteri; Salmoniformes; Salmonidae
Source: Ensembl
UCUAAAACCAUGCUCAGCCUCUACUGUGAUAGAACUAUGUCUUUACAGUAUAAGAACAGCUGUUUACGUACAUCCUGUCAGUUCUCUGCUUGCCCUGCGUGGUGAUACAGACAUUUUAAGACUGGAAGACAUACAAUUAGAGGUUACCCUACAUUAACACAGGAGGUACCUGAAGUAAUUGAUGUGGAUCAAGAACCAACACCCCCACCAACACCAACACUGCCGGGUAGCCUCGUGGUUAGAGCGUUGGGCUAGUAAUGGAAAGGUUUCAAGAUCAAAUGCCUGAGCUGACAAACUCUGUCAUUUGACCCUGAAUAAGGCAGAUAACCCACCCUUCCUAGGCCAUCACUGAAAAUAAGAAUUUGUUCUUAAUUAACUGCCUUGCCUAGUUAAAUAAAGGUAAAUAAAUAAGUGACCUAACCCUCCUGUAGGCCAUCAGGAUACCUAACCCUCCUACAGCCCCUGCAGGCCAUGAGGACACCUAACCCUCCUACAGCUCCUGUAGGCCACGAGGACACCUAACCCUCCUACAGCCACUGCAGGCCAUGAGGACAAUGAGAAACCUUAUUAUGAUUUUGACCAAUUGGAAAAUUGUGUAAUAAAUCAGCUGGGGGACGGUAUUGAUAGAAGUGUGUAUGAAUCAGAGACUUGAUCAUGCAGUUUUGUUAUGUGAUGAUGUUGGAUACUCUAGGAGUAUUCUCUGGGAUAACAUUUAGAACGGGCUACAGAUGAUGUCUUACAGUUUGAAAUAUGUGGUGAUCGUCUGCAGAACACAGUGUCUCUUGUUUCACCUUAUAGAGAAGAGGAUGUUGAACAAUUUAUAGUCCUGCUGGAACGUCUUGUUCAAUCUAAUUUAUCCAUCAUAGCUGGCUAGUGACCUCCGAAAUGCUGUAGGUCUCUGUAUACAGGAACCUGUGGCUUUCUCUGACAGAGUCACAUUAGAACAUUUGAUGAACAUCAAGAUUGUGGUUUUAUACCAUAGUAAGGAUAAUUCCCUUGAAAUUAGUAGAGCUAAUUCAGCUCCCUAGAAAUUCCAGAACAACCCUCAACCUCAUCCUCAUAUUGAGUAAUUUUAUGUGCAAAACAAACAUUUUGUGUGGAAUUACCAACAUCCAUCAUGUUAAUCAGGCAACACCAGACAGGAGGGGGCACUCAUGUCAGUAUAACUGUUCAGUGUGUCAGGCUACACCAGACAGGGGGGGGGCACUCUUGUCAGUAUAACUGUUCAGUAUGUCAGGAUGAAAAAUGUCUGAUGCAAACAGUACAACUAACACCAUGUGAGUAUUGUCAUCUAACAUGUCGAUCCUUCUACUGCUACGAAAAACACAAACUUGAAACAUGGCAUCCCAAGGCAUGUAAAUCUGUAAGCUGGUGUGACCUCAAUAAGAAAUGUCCAAAAUUCCAACGCAAUUCCAACAUUAAAAUAGACAACCCCCAACCUCACAUAUGUG